AGCUUUGCGCAGUGGCAGCAUCAUAGCCCAUGAGUUUUAUCUCAGGCACGAUUAUUGCUAAUUGAAAACUUUUCCCAAUAACCCACUGUGACAACUUGCAAUAUAGUCGGCACUAGCAAUUUUUGAUGUUCUCUACAGAGA
This is a small nuclear RNA of Otolemur garnettii (small-eared galago), 141 nucleotides long. Its record names the gene U4. It matches the Rfam family "U4 spliceosomal RNA". From Rfam's summary of the family: U4 small nuclear RNA (U4 snRNA) is a component of the major U2-dependent spliceosome. The structure of U4 snRNA from yeast and human has been reported. U4 snRNA presents a k-turn RNA motif in the 5p-SL related to recognition of Snu13 protein. The record is from Ensembl. Lineage: Eukaryota; Metazoa; Chordata; Mammalia; Primates; Galagidae.